AAUGUUUGUUCUGUUAUUGUUUAGAAGUCGGAGUUUUCCACGAAAUAGACACGUUAAUUCUCAGACCUCCUGGAACAUGAUCAAUCCUAAGGCAGGAAAUAAAGACUAAGGACAUGGGGCUUAGGUUGAAGUGUGGGGGAGAUAACUGCCUCCUUGAUCUGAACCUCAAGGAUUUGUAGAAUGAAGUAUCUUCCCACUGCGGGGAGGCAGGCUGGCCGUUCCUCCAUGGCAGCAGUAGAGAGCAAUGUAGAAGUCAAACCCAGAGACUGGGGAAUCUGGGCAAAGAUGAGGAACGUGACAUUACAUAACUUGCUUCUUCCAAGUGCCUCCUCCAAAAGAGUC
This 342-nucleotide long non-coding RNA is filed under the name Rhinopithecus bieti (black snub-nosed monkey). Its description in RNAcentral is "lncRNA (ENSRBIG00000046107.1)". The record is from RNAcentral. Lineage: Eukaryota; Metazoa; Chordata; Mammalia; Primates; Cercopithecidae.